CGGCUGCUUAAAGCCCCGGGGGUUAUUCACAUUUUCGUCGGAGCUGCCGCUUCUCCAGGCGCCCUACGGCAGUCCAGCGGUGACCUCAGUCACCAACCCCGAGGUUCUCCCAGCUUGUGUGCGCUGUUCCUGCUCCCACGACCGUGAUCCCGGUGGAAAAGAGGAACAUCAUCUGUUCCUGAGAAGAAUAACUUGAAACCGCAGGUACCGUGCAUGUGGAGAUGUGGGGUCCUGGGAAUCUCCAGCACUGGUCACACUCCUAAUUCCACUUCCAAACCUCAUUCACGACCCUGAAUGGAAUAAGUAAUAUAUAAAUACAUAAUAAAGUGUAUAUAUUUAUAUAAAACAUUUUUAUUUAUAAACAUAAUGCAUAGUAAUGUAAAAUAGAAAAAUUUUGAACUAUAUAUAUGGAAUAAAAUAAAAUAGGACAAUGUUCAAUGCUGAUUACCUUGCUAAAUGAUCAUUAGAUUUAAGAUGGAAUUGAAUAAAAUGGAAAAGAAAAUGCCAGCCUGCAUCACAGGCAAUGAACAUAACUAUAGUUUCAUGUAACAUUUGUUUCUAUUAAAUAUUUGUGCUUA
Molecule: long non-coding RNA, 578 nt
Organism: Mustela lutreola (European mink)
Lineage: Eukaryota; Metazoa; Chordata; Mammalia; Carnivora; Mustelidae
Exons: 2
Source: RefSeq, a predicted model, not a curated record